CAAAGAUUUUAUGCAGUUAUUCUCGGAUUUUAUGGUGUAAUUAAAAGGUGAUCUAUGUGGUUCCUGUUUUAUACUAAGAAGUACUUAUAAAAACUAUUGUUGGCUGGAAACCUGUAAUAAAUUGUCCUAGUUCUUUUUGUGAUAAAUGAAUUGUAGUGGUAUCAUCCUGAAAGAAUAAUCUAGCCCAGAAGAAGUUGGAUAAAAAUAUAAAUUACAUUAUGUCUUGUUAUUGUAAUUAAA
Parasteatoda tepidariorum (common house spider) is the source of this 240-nucleotide non-coding RNA. NCBI's taxonomy places the organism in Eukaryota, Metazoa, Arthropoda, Arachnida, Araneae, Theridiidae. The record is from RefSeq and is a predicted model, not a curated record.